Molecule: small RNA, 530 nt
Filed under: Pongo abelii (Sumatran orangutan)
Lineage: Eukaryota; Metazoa; Chordata; Mammalia; Primates; Hominidae
Description: processed transcript
Source: RNAcentral
ACUCACAGCUAAAAAAUCUGCCCUUUAAAAUGUCUCCUCACGAAGUAGGAAGCGCCACUUUUGACCGUGUGUGCUGACAUGGUUUUUGAUCUGGGAAAGAGGGUGAGGAGCCGACUGGAAGCAUCACUUUCUGGGAUGUCAGAGUCUCCUUGGAAGAGUUCUAAUUAAGGACUCAGAAUGAUUGACAGGUGGUGGAAGCUCAAGAAAGCACACUUGAUACGCAGCAGAAGACAGUCUCUGAGUUGCAAAAAACCUGGCAAUUGGAGACCUUGAAAAACUUUUAACCAUCAAGACUAGCCUUUUCACUGUAUAGAAAUGAAUCUCCACUUGCUGUUGGCAUUAUCACAGUGACCGGAGUGAUAUGGAAGAGAAGUGAUGUUGGUGCAUCUAAGAGAUUCUCUCUACCCUCAGUUGGGAAUCAACCAGCUCUCUUACACAAGAAAACUUGCCACCAGGUGCUCAUCAGUGGUAACAGCCGGCUACACUCUCUUAAAGAUGCCUACCAUUGGGUUUUUACAGGGAAGCUAGUG